AUGGACUUGCCUCUCCUGAAAGAUAUCAACAAGCAAUCAUUUAGAUGGAAAGUUAUGGCCAGGAUCGCAAGAGUCUGGGAGCUCAAAAGAAAAGACACAGGAACUACCUAUGAGGUGGACUUCCUGCUGCUUGAUCGACAGGGUGGCACAAUGGAAAGUUUGAUUCCAGAGAAGAGAAUGGCCCAAUUUACGAAGCACAUCACCGAGGGAACAAUUUAUACAAUUGAGGACUUCAAUCUAUAUGAUGCCAAGAGCAAGUUUAGAUCUUCAGAUCACCCCCUCAGGGUAUGUUUCACAUUUCGCACUAAGCUUAAAAAAGUGGAGCCCCAACCCGUGAAUUUCCCAAUAUUUGCCCACAACGUCAGGCCAUUCUCUGUUCUGGAAGCACGUGCUGAUCAGAACUUCAUCUUAUCAGAUGUUAUUGGAGUAAUCGUGCAAGUCACAGAACUCUUGCCAGGCUCCAGCGCAAACCCUGAUGAGCGCUGUCAGAUCUACAUCACUGAUGGAAACCAGCGGGCUGUGGUGACACUUUGGGGGACACACGCCACUACUUUCAACGCCGCGGGCCUCGUGGAGAGCUCUGCCACGCAGCAUAUCGUUGCUCUUUUUGUAGGUGUUACAGUGAGUCACUAUUCAGGUUUACUCGCUUUCAAAUCGACAUCAGUGACCAAAUUAUAUGUCAACAUCCCAAUACCAGAAAUGGAGACCGUCAGACACAACGUGACAGGUAUUCCAUCCCAGAUUGAAUGGUUUGGUAACCAUCGAGCAAGAAAAGAGCCGGUAGAUGCAAGAAUAGCAGAAAUUGCUGAGCUUGAACCCAACCACAUCAUGGACGAACGCUACAGAUUUUCAAUUCUUGUCACUGAAGUUAUCCUAUCCAAGUGA
RNAcentral lists this ribosomal RNA (885 nucleotides) under Triticum aestivum (bread wheat). RNAcentral describes it as "partial small subunit ribosomal RNA". The record is from RNAcentral. Lineage: Eukaryota; Viridiplantae; Streptophyta; Magnoliopsida; Poales; Poaceae.